UAGGGAAUCUUCGGCAAUGGACGAAAGUCUGACCGAGCAACGCCUCGUGAGUGAAGAAUGUUUUCGGAUCGUAAAACUCUGUUGUUAGAGAAGAACAAUGACGUUAGUAACUGAACGUCCCCUGACGGUAUCUAACCAGAAAGCCACGGCUAACUACGUGCCAGCAGCCGCGGUAAUACGUAGGUGGCAAGCGUUGUCCGGAUUUAUUGGGCGUAAAGCGAGCGCAGGCGGUUUCUUAAGUCUGAUGUGAAAGACCCCGGCUCAAACGGGGAGGGUCAAUGGAAACUGGGAGACAUGAGUGCAGAAGAGGAGAGUGGAAUUCCAUGUGUAGCGGAGAAAUGCGUAGAUAUAUGGAGGAACACCAGUGGCGAAGGCGGCUCGCUGGUAUGUAACUGACGCUGAGGCUCGAAAGCGUGGGGAGCAAACAGG
This 429-nucleotide ribosomal RNA is filed under the name Gemmatimonadota bacterium. RNAcentral's name for it is "Gemmatimonadetes bacterium partial 16S ribosomal RNA". It matches the Rfam family "Bacterial small subunit ribosomal RNA", at positions 355 to 776 of the family's 1533-position model. Lineage: Bacteria; Pseudomonadati; Gemmatimonadota. The record is from RNAcentral.